RNAcentral lists this ribosomal RNA (645 nucleotides) under Nocardioides sp. CAP 124. RNAcentral describes it as "bacterial SSU rRNA". It matches the Rfam family "Bacterial small subunit ribosomal RNA", at positions 118 to 777 of the family's 1533-position model. The record is from RNAcentral. Lineage: Bacteria; Bacillati; Actinomycetota; Actinomycetes; Propionibacteriales; Nocardioidaceae.
UGAGUAAUCUGCCCCAGGCUCUGGGAUAGCCACCGGAAACGGUGAUUAAUACCGGAUACGACAACCGAUUGCAUGAUCUGGUUGUGGAAAGUUUUUCGGCCUGGGAUGUGCUCGCGGCCUAUCAGCUUGUUGGUGAGGUAAUGGCUCACCAAGGCUUCGACGGGUAGCCGGCCUGAGAGGGUGACCGGCCACACUGGGACUGAGACACGGCCCAGACUCCUACGGGAGGCAGCAGUGGGGAAUAUUGGACAAUGGGCGGAAGCCUGAUCCAGCAACGCCGCGUGAGGGAUGACGGCCUUCGGGUUGUAAACCUCUUUCAGCACAGACGAAGCGCAAGUGACGGUAUGUGCAGAAGAAGGACCGGCCAACUACGUGCCAGCAGCCGCGGUAAUACGUAGGGUCCGAGCGUUGUCCGGAAUUAUUGGGCGUAAAGGGCUCGUAGGCGGUCUGUCGCGUCGGGAGUGAAAACCAGGUGCUUAACACCUGGCCUGCUUUCGAUACGGGCAGACUAGAGGUACUCAGGGGAGAAUGGAAUUCCUGGUGUAGCGGUGAAAUGCGCAGAUAUCAGGAGGAACACCGGUGGCGAAGGCGGUUCUCUGGGAGUAUCCUGACGCUGAGGAGCGAAAGCGUGGGGAGCAAACAGAG